Molecule: ribosomal RNA, 390 nt
Filed under: uncultured bacterium
Lineage: Bacteria
Description: bacterial SSU rRNA
Rfam family: Bacterial small subunit ribosomal RNA
Source: RNAcentral
GACGAACGCUGGCGGCGUGCUUAACACAUGCAAGUCGAGCGGUAAGGCCCUUUCGGGGGUACACGAGCGGCGAACGGGUGAGUAACACGUGGGUGACCUGCCCUUAGCUCUGGGAUAAGCCUGGGAAACUGGGUCUAAUACCGGAUAUGACUCCAUGACGCAUGUUGUGGGGUGGAAAGCCUUGUGCGGCUAGGGAUGGGCCUGCGGCCUAUCAGCUUGUUGGUGGGGUGAUGGCCUACCAAGGCGUCGACGGGUAGCCGGCCUGAGAGGGCGACCGGCCACACUGGGACUGAGACACGGCCCAGACUCCUACGGGAGGCAGCAGUGGGGAAUCUUGCGCAAUGGGCGAAAGCCUGACGCAGCGACGCCGCGUGGGGAUGACGGCCUCGG